GACGAACGCUGGCGGCGUGCCUAAUACAUGCAAGUAGAACGCUGAAGGAGGAGCUUGCUUCUCUGGAUGAGUUGCGAACGGGUGAGUAACGCGUAGGUAACCUGCCUGGUAGCGGGGGAUAACUAUUGGAAACGAUAGCUAAUACCGCAUAAGAGUAGAUGUUGCAUGACAUUUGCUUAAAAGGUGCAAUUGCAUCACUACCAGAUGGACCUGCGUUGUAUUAGCUAGUUGGUGAGGUAACGGCUCACCAAGGCGACGAUACAUAGCCGACCUGAGAGGGUGAUCGGCCACACUGGGACUGAGACACGGCCCAGACUCCUACGGGAGGCAGCAGUAGGGAAUCUUCGGCAAUGGACGGAAGUCUGACCGAGCGACGCCGCGUGAGUGAAGAAGGUUUUCGGAUCGUAAAGCUCUGUUGUAAGAGAAGAACGAGUGUGAGAGUGGAAAGUUCACACUGUGACGGUAUCUUACCAGAAAGGGACGGCUAACUACGUG
RNAcentral lists this ribosomal RNA (495 nucleotides) under uncultured bacterium. RNAcentral's name for it is "partial 16S ribosomal RNA". It matches the Rfam family "Bacterial small subunit ribosomal RNA", at positions 28 to 507 of the family's 1533-position model. The record is from RNAcentral.